CUCGUGGUAAGCUCAAUAUUUGACGGUAUACUUUCAACCGUAAUCCUUCCAAAAUUUCGAAUGUUAGAAAUGAGAUUUUUAAUUGCAGUGUUGAUACGAAAUGACAGAACAAUCUUUUUCAAAUUCUCGCUACCGGAUAUUGACCUGAUAUAUUCAUUUUUGUCAGAGACCUCCUUUUCAAUUCGUUUCAUAGACAAAAAAGUCUGAAGAUCAGAAGUAUUCUGUUUGAUAUCUGAAAUACUAUCCUGUAAUGACAACAUUUCUUGUUGUUUUUCCUCUAGAGAAAUUAACAGUUGACGAAUUUUUCUACUCUCCUUAUCUUCCGAUGCACAUAGCUCCUUUAUUAUAUCUGCUUGUAUUUUGUCGAUAUGAUUAUUGAUCGCUAUUCGGGUCUCUGCUAUUUCUUUUUCAAUCUGUUUCCGAGUCUCAGAUAAGGUCAGCUGGUUCUUUUGUCGGUCUUGUCGGAUUUUUCCAAUAUUUUCGACUACUUCUACCAAUGUCUGCUGGAUUUCGUAGAAUGCAUAUGAUGUCUUGGAAUUUUUAAUGACAUCAUCUAGUUUUACAAUUUCAUCGCAUCUAUUGUGACUUUGUACAAUGCAGCUGCUACAAAAAGGGCAUUCAUGCUUCUUGCAGUAAAUGAUGUACUUUUCAUUGUGCUUGUCACAGAACUGAGAAAUAUUGAUAACAUCACUUGGUAAUUUACGAUAUUCGGAAAUUGGUAUAAAUAGUUAUCAAAGGUACCAGGAUUAUAAUUUAGUACGCCAGACGCGCGUUUCGUCUACAUAAGACUCAUCAGUGACGCUCAUAUCAAAAUAUUUAUAAAGCCAAACG
RNAcentral lists this long non-coding RNA (831 nucleotides) under Mytilus galloprovincialis (Mediterranean mussel). Lineage: Eukaryota; Metazoa; Mollusca; Bivalvia; Mytilida; Mytilidae. The record is from RNAcentral.